UCGCUCUUCAACGAGGAAUCCCUAGUAAGCACAAGUCACCAGCUUGUGCUGAUUACGUCCCUGCCCUUUGUACACACCGCCCGUCGCUACUACCGAUUGAAUGGCUUAGUGAGGCCCUCGGAUCGACUUUCUGAGACUGGCAACAGUCUCUGAUUGUUGAGAAGUUGGUCAAACUUGGUCAUUUAGAGGAAGUAAAAGUCGUAACAAGGUUUCCGUAGGUGAACCUGCGGAAGGAUCAUUAAUGAUUUGGCGAACCUAACGUUAGUUAGGUUUUGCGAUCACUUAUUUAAAACCCAACUCUUAAAUGUAUAAUUAUGUAUUUCUUGAUAAGAAAAAAUAAAGAUCACUUUCAACAACGGAUCUCUUGGCUCUCGCAUCGAUGAAGAACGUAGCGAAGUGCGAUAAGUAAUGUGAAUUGCAGAAUUCCGUGAAUCAUCGAAUCUUUGAACGCAAAUUGCACUUUCUGGUAUUCCGGAAAGUAUGCCUGUUUGAGGGUCAGUUAAAUAAAAAUCGGUGUUAUUGCUAUUAAUGGUGAUGCAUCGGAAUUGAGUCGUCUUUACCUUUGGUUUAAGUGACUUAAAAUUAUGUACGAUUUCUGAACGUAUUUAAAUUAUUUACUUACGCUCAUGAUAUCACAUAUUAGGUGCGGUCAUCCACAUGAUUUCGCGCCUAUAUUUUUCAUUAUUUGACCUCAAAUCAGGUAAGAAUACCCGCUGAACUUAAGCAUAUCAAUAAGCGGAGGAAAAGAAAAUAACAAUGAUUCCCUUAGUAACGGCGAGUGAAGGGGGAUAAGCUCAAAUUUUAAAUCUGCUAGGUUUUACUUAUCAGAGUUGUAAUUUGAAGAAGCGUUUUCCGCGUCUCGGUUGACCCAAAUCCUUUGGGAUAUGGUAUCAUGGAGGGUGAGAAUCCCGUCCGGUUGACUUUGUGACGCUUUACGAUACGUUUUCAAAGAGUCGAGUUGUUUGGGAUUGCAGCUCAAAAUGGGAGGUAAAUUUCUCCUAAGGCUAAAUAUUGGCGAGAGACCGAUAGCGAACAAGUACCGUGAGGGAAAGAUGAAAAGAACUUUGAAAAGAGAGUAAAAUAGUACGUGAAAUUGUUGAAAGGGAAACGAUUGAAGUCAGUCGUACCGACGGAAAAUCAACUCUUCGAGUGCGGACUUUGUGGACGUGCGUGAGCUUUAACGGCCUCGCUGUUUGUAACGUUUGUGCUUUUUGGGUGUACUUUUUCGUAUGGUAGGCCAACAUCAGUUUUGAUCGCUAUAAAAUGACCGGAGGAAUGUAGCUUCGAUCUCGUAUUGAAGUGUUAUAGCCUUUGGUAGAUGUGGUGAUCGAGACUGAGGAUUGCAACGAAUAUCCUUUGGGCUAUCCGUCUGAUCUCUGAAAGUCGCUUAGGUGCCGAAAGCUUGCUUACGGUCAUUUAAGUUUGACGGUCAAAAGGUUAGAACGUGAUUACAUUCGUUAAGGAUGUUGGCGUAAUGGCUUUAAACGACCCGUCUUGAAACACGGACCAAGGAGUCUAGCAUAUAUGCGAGUG
RNAcentral lists this ribosomal RNA (1533 nucleotides) under uncultured Glomus. RNAcentral describes it as "eukaryotic LSU rRNA". The stretch from base 687 to 1533 matches the Rfam family "Eukaryotic large subunit ribosomal RNA", at positions 1 to 692 of the family's 3401-position model. The record is from RNAcentral. Lineage: Eukaryota; Fungi; Glomeromycota; Glomeromycetes; Glomerales; Glomeraceae.